GAUGAACGCUGGCGGCGUGCCUAAUACAUGCAAGUCGAACGCUGGAAAUCUAGCUUGCUAGAUUGAAGGAGUGGCGAACGGGUGAGUAAUACAUAAGCAACCUACCCACGAAGACUGGGAUAAUCUCUGGAAACGGGGACUAAUACCGGAUAGGUAAUCGGAAGGCCUCUUCUGAUUAUUAAAGGUUAAAAACACUGGUGGAUGGGCUUAUGGCGCAUUAGUUAGUUGGUGAGGUAACGGCCCACCAAGACGAUGAUGCGUAGCCGGCCUGAGAGGGUGAACGGCCACAUUGGGACUGAGACACGGCCCAGACUCCUACGGGAGGCAGCAGUAGGGAAUUUUCGGCAAUGGGGGAAACCCUGACCGAGCAACGCCGCGUGAGUGAGGACGGCCUUCGGGUUGUAAAGCUCUGUUGUAAGGGAAGAACGGUAGAUAGAGAAUAUCUAAAUGACGGUACCUUACCAGAAAGCCACGGCUAACUACGUG
This 486-nucleotide ribosomal RNA is filed under the name uncultured bacterium. Its description in RNAcentral is "partial 16S ribosomal RNA". It matches the Rfam family "Bacterial small subunit ribosomal RNA", at positions 28 to 507 of the family's 1533-position model. The record is from RNAcentral.